Molecule: ribosomal RNA, 532 nt
Filed under: Penicillium oxalicum
Lineage: Eukaryota; Fungi; Ascomycota; Eurotiomycetes; Eurotiales; Aspergillaceae
Description: eukaryotic LSU rRNA
Rfam family: 5.8S ribosomal RNA (bases 159-312)
Source: RNAcentral
GGGUCACCUCCCACCCGUGUUUAUCGUACCUUGUUGCUUCGGCGGGCCCGCCUCACGGCCGCCGGGGGGCAUCCGCCCCCGGGCCCGCGCCCGCCGAAGACACACAAACGAACUCUUGUCUGAAGAUUGCAGUCUGAGUACUUGACUAAAUCAGUUAAAACUUUCAACAACGGAUCUCUUGGUUCCGGCAUCGAUGAAGAACGCAGCGAAAUGCGAUAAGUAAUGUGAAUUGCAGAAUUCAGUGAAUCAUCGAGUCUUUGAACGCACAUUGCGCCCCCUGGUAUUCCGGGGGGCAUGCCUGUCCGAGCGUCAUUGCUGCCCUCAAGCACGGCUUGUGUGUUGGGCUCUCGCCCCCCGCUUCCGGGGGGCGGGCCCGAAAGGCAGCGGCGGCACCGCGUCCGGUCCUCGAGCGUAUGGGGCUUCGUCACCCGCUCUGUAGGCCCGGCCGGCGCCCGCCGGCGAACACCAUCAAUCUUAACCAGGUUGACCUCGGAUCAGGUAGGGAUACCCGCUGAACUUAAGCAUAUCAUAA